Molecule: ribosomal RNA, 221 nt
Filed under: uncultured bacterium
Lineage: Bacteria
Description: partial 16S ribosomal RNA
Rfam family: Bacterial small subunit ribosomal RNA
Source: RNAcentral
GCAAGUCGAACGAAGUAGCAAUACUUAGUGGCAGACGGGUGAGUAACAUGUGGGUAUCUACCCUUUGGCCUGGAAUAACACGAGGAAACUUGUGCUAAUACCGGAUAAGUCUUUACGGAGAAAGCUUUAUGCACCAUUGGAUGAGCCCGCACUUGAUUAGUUUGUUGGUAGGGUAAUGGCCUACCAAGACUACGAUGAUUAGCGGAUCUGAGAGGAUGAUC